RNAcentral lists this ribosomal RNA (482 nucleotides) under uncultured bacterium. RNAcentral's name for it is "partial 16S ribosomal RNA". It matches the Rfam family "Bacterial small subunit ribosomal RNA", at positions 28 to 507 of the family's 1533-position model. The record is from RNAcentral.
GACGAACGCUGGCGGCGUGCUUAACACAUGCAAGUCGAACGAUGAAGAAGAGAAACGCGAACUUCGGUUCAAAUUUCACUUCGGAUUAGUGGCAGACGGGUGAGUAACGCGUGAGCAACCUACCUCUUACAAAGGGAUAGCCUCGGGAAACCGUGAUUAAUACCAUAUGACACAUUCAUAAGGCAUCUUAAGAAUGUUAAAGCUACGGCGGUAAGAGAUGGGCUCGCGUCCCAUUAGCUAGUUGGUGAGGUAACGGCCCACCAAGGCGACGAUGGGUAACCGGCCUGAGAGGGUGAACGGUCACAUUGGAACUGAGACACGGUCCAAACUCCUACGGGAGGCAGCAGUGGGGAAUAUUGCACAAUGGAGGGAACUCUGAUGCAGCGACGCCGCGUGAGCGAUGAAGGAAUUCGUUUCGUAAAGCUCUGUUCUAUGGGAAGAAAAGGACUGUACGAUAGGAGAAAGCCCCGGCUAAAUACGUG